This 432-nucleotide long non-coding RNA is filed under the name Penaeus monodon (black tiger shrimp). Its description in RNAcentral is "uncharacterized LOC119592158". The record is from RNAcentral. Lineage: Eukaryota; Metazoa; Arthropoda; Malacostraca; Decapoda; Penaeidae.
UAUCCAGAUCGCCCUCAGCUGUUGCAGCACCUCCCCAGCCAACAUGAAGUUGAUUUCCUUGUUGAUGGCCAUAGUCGGGGCCCUGUCCUGCUUCAUGGGAUCUGCUCUUGCCAUGCCCGAACCCUAUGCCCUCCCUGACGCUGACGCCGUGGCAGAGGCCGAACCCUGGCGCUAUAGGCCCCAUGGGCACAUCUAUACCCACUACCAUAGGCCCUACGGACUCCACAGUCAUAUCCAUUGGCGCUAAGCAGUCUCAGAGUACAAUGUAGAAGACCCAUUACCGCCAAUUAGGAUCUCUCUUUCUCUUGCAGACUAAAUUUUCUACUUUCGUUUAUAAUGAUAUCUUCAAGAUACUAGCUAAGCACUUAAAAUGCACCUUGAGAAAAAAAUGGAAUUGCUACUUAUUUCCAAAUUAAAAGUUGUGCAAGAACA